Long non-coding RNA from Erigeron canadensis, 495 nucleotides. RefSeq lists it as uncharacterized. The record is from RefSeq and is a predicted model, not a curated record. The transcript is spliced from 2 exons. NCBI's taxonomy places the organism in Eukaryota, Viridiplantae, Streptophyta, Magnoliopsida, Asterales, Asteraceae.
UGCCAUGGAUGAGGAUGAGGAUGAGGAUGAUGAUGAUGAUGAUGACACCGAGGAUGAUGAUGUAAUGGAAGAGGAUUAUCAUCGGACUGAUCCCCGUUCUUUCAGAGUGUUACGGCCAUGUGGCCAUGAGUUUCACCAAGAUUGCAUCACCACAUGGUUUGAGAUGAGCAACGGCCUUACGUGCCCUCUUUGUCGGUGUAUAGUGCGCACCAACAAUGACGAUUUCAAUACGUGGGCAAGAGUUUAUAAUCGUUUGCUGUAACGUCUCGAUUUUUAAAGGUUAAAUUUUGCAUCUGAAUUUUGAGCUUGAGAUGAGGAGUUAUUUUUGUUUUUUAGAGCUUUCGAUGUUCUCUUAGACCCCCAUUGUUCUGUGUUGCUACGCAAAUUUUGGUUGCAUAGGUAAGCGUAACAGAAGGGUAUUUGAACAACUACCUUUAGAACUCUUGUUUAUUUGCUGAAUUGAGGUGGAUUAUGAUAACCUAAAGUUGAUUAUGA